This 1173-nucleotide long non-coding RNA is filed under the name Brassica napus (rape). RNAcentral's name for it is "long non-coding RNA (BNAP_LNC023106)". The record is from RNAcentral. Lineage: Eukaryota; Viridiplantae; Streptophyta; Magnoliopsida; Brassicales; Brassicaceae.
CAUAAAAUUUUAUGUGUAUAACAUUUAUUCCGCGCAAAACGCAGAUCUUAAUCUAGUAUUUACAUUAGGAGACUCAUUCAAACUCCUUGCAGUGGGCCUUUAUAUACAAAUGGGUCACUUCUUUAAUAAUUAUCAAAAUAAUAUUCUAUCUUUUUAUAAAAAAUGUCACUUAUACACUUUCACAUAUUAAAAAAUAAUUAAAAUGUAUUUAUGUUUUCACUAAUAUAUAUGUUUAACCAACAAUUACCUUCAUAGAUAAAUUUUGACUUUACAAUAUCAUAAUAGACACUCCUCACUUGAUACAUAUUUUUUCACUGUUCAAAGACUAAAAUACCCAAUAAAAAGUUACUCACUCUCGUUACUCUCUCUCCAACCAAUAUUUAAAAAUUAAUAAUUGUGAAUUGAGGAAAAAUACAAAUAAAAUGGCACAUGGAGUGGUGGAUUCUGAAAGGUGUCACGUCUGACCAACACUUUGACGAAAGCUAAAGAUGAAUUAUUUCCUUCUUCCCCAAAACUCAAUAUGCUAAAGAAGUUUAUAUGUUUGUGUGUGUAGGUCUAUGGAUUAGCUUUGUGACAUGCUCCUCAGAUAUUAAAACAUAAACUUGUGGUUUCAUUUUGUAUCUACUGGGGAUAUGGAGAAUAAUGGUCAGUUGGUGACUUUGCGGUUUUUCCGAAGACAGUAAAUUUUUUACGCCUCCGUCUGUGGUUCCUGCUGUCAAUUACGGACAACCCGGUUUGCUUGGUUCUCCUUCGGAAUAGCAGAUUUGCAACUCUUCCUUAUGUCCAUCGAAACUGAGGCUCAAUCGAGCUUAGCGUCCGUCCAAGUCGAAGAUGAGCUGAGAAACCGCCAUCUGGGUGAAGCUGUGGUGGUUCGAGGUUGGAGCCGCCAUGGACAAAAGCUCGAAGAAUUAUAAAUUUUUGCAUUCCUUGAACUUUUGUAUGUCUUCGUUUCUGCCCCAUUCAUUUCAAAUGUGCAGAUUUCUCUUUGAUUUGACUUCGAACUUUUCAAUUAUACACUCUAGACCCUGCUUUCAUGCAAUUAUGUAUGAAAAUACAAAAUAAAUAUGUGUGUCCACAACUUAUAUGUAAUUUAUGUGUUCACAAUGCAUUAGCCCAAAUUAUUUCUUUAUCUAUCCACAACAUAUAUAUCUACAUAUUCUCUGUCCACAGAGC